RNAcentral lists this ribosomal RNA (614 nucleotides) under uncultured bacterium. Its description in RNAcentral is "bacterial SSU rRNA". It matches the Rfam family "Bacterial small subunit ribosomal RNA", at positions 338 to 959 of the family's 1533-position model. The record is from RNAcentral.
CCUACGGGAGGCAGCAGUGAGGAAUAUUGGACAAUGGGCGCAAGCCUGAUCCAGCCAUGCCGCGUGCAGGGAGAAGCAUCUAUGGUGUGUAAACUGCUUUUGUACAGGAAGAAACACUCCCUCGUGAGGGAGCUUGACGGUACUGUAAGAAUAAGGAUCGGCUAACUCCGUGCCAGCAGCCGCGGUAAUACGGAGGAUCCAAGCGUUAUCCGGAAUCAUUGGGUUUAAAGGGUCCGUAGGCGGUUUGGUAAGUCAGUGGUGAAAGCCCAUCGCUCAACGGUGGAACGGCCAUUGAUACUGCUAGACUUGAAUUAUUGUGAAGUAACUAGAAUAUGUAGUGUAGCGGUGAAAUGCUUAGAGAUUACAUGGAAUACCAAUUGCGAAGGCAGGUUACUAACAAUAUAUUGACGCUGAUGGACGAAAGCGUGGGGAGCGAACAGGAUUAGAUACCCUGGUAGUCCACGCCGUAAACGAUGGAUACUAGCUGUUGGGAGUAAUCUCAGUGGCUAAGCGAAAGUGAUAAGUAUCCCACCUGGGGAGUACGUUCGCAAGAAUGAAACUCAAAUGAAAUUGACGGGCNGAGACGAGCGACGGACGACGACGAGGGGAGGAGG